This 277-nucleotide unclassified non-coding RNA is filed under the name Hevea brasiliensis (rubber tree). Lineage: Eukaryota; Viridiplantae; Streptophyta; Magnoliopsida; Malpighiales; Euphorbiaceae. The record is from RNAcentral.
GGUUGCACCAAAUAGGAGAGUAGCCUGUAGUAUAUGGUAGCCAAGAAUAUAGAUGGAAUUGAAAGCAUCCAUUUGCAAGUUUCUUUGUAAGUUGAAUUUCUCCUGUUCUUGAAAUGCAAAACUCUUGUGCUUUUUCCAUUUACUAGUUGGGUAGCUGUGCCUCACUUUAUUUUUUCAAAUAUGAUCUUUGUGGUUCACUAUAUUUCAUUCAUUCAAUGACAUCUGAAAAAUCUUAGUGCAACUUGUUCUUAAACAGAGCAUUUACAAGGAAGAAAGG